This is a long non-coding RNA of Pleuronectes platessa (European plaice), 1115 nucleotides long. RefSeq lists it as uncharacterized. NCBI's taxonomy places the organism in Eukaryota, Metazoa, Chordata, Actinopteri, Pleuronectiformes, Pleuronectidae. The record is from RefSeq and is a predicted model, not a curated record. The transcript has 2 exons.
GGCGAGACUUUUUUUCCAGAGUUUUUGGGACGGUAGACAUGCCAGAUACCUAAAUUAACGUGUAGAAGCACUACAAAAGUGGAAUUUUCAUAAUAUGUCCACUUUAAGUUUCUGUGAGCCUGACUUUUCUUUUUUUAAGUGCCUCUGUGUCUGUCGACCUGCAGUUGUAUUAAAGUGUUACACAAUUAAAUGAUACACACUAUACACCCAAAAUAUAGUCCUCAAAGAGUUUUUUAUCAAUGAUUUGCUGACAAAUAGUUUUGGGGUCUAGUGAUUAUAUUGUGUGUAGCUCGACCUCUAAUUAAAUGUUGUUACACAACUUGUUGGACUCUAACGUUGUUCAUUCUGCCACAUGUACAAGAUUCAAAAGCAAAUUUGUGUUUGCAGCGUCUACCCAAUCAGUCUGAGGAAAACCUUAACUAUGACAGUGUCCACUUCAUGAAGAGUGAGACGGAUCCCGUCUACUCCAACGUCGGAUCAGCUGAUCCCAGUGAACACAAGGAGGUGGAGGAGGUUACGUACGCUUCUGUCAACUUUAACAGAUCUGCCCCGAGAACCAGAGGUCAGGACACUGGAGAGGAUCCAGCUGCAUUGUACAGCACAGUCCAAAAACAUCCUGCUGUUUAGACCAACGUCUGGAAAUCACCUUAGUCCCGAUGGAAAUAUCUCAACAGCUGCAGGAUGGAUUUGAAUAGAAGUUCAUAAAACUGUUCAUGGUCCCCACAGGAUGAAUCCUUCAUUGGUGACGGUCAGCCUCCAGCAUCAUUGUUGAAAUGAAUUUUCAGUCUUAAGUGACUUGUCUUGACAGCUAAUGUAUAAAUUGCCCCGAGGAUGAAUCCAAACGACUUCGGUGACUCGACUUUUAUCUGAAAUAUAUCAGCAACUUGUAGAAGUUGUUAAAAACGCCACAUUUAGCCUGAAUGAAAAAUAUCAAACAUUUUAUAACUUGCAGCUUCAAACUUGAAAAUAUCUGCGGUGUGUGUCAGAAGGUCGACAAACUGUAAACUUGUAAUUAACUUUUUUCUAUUCAUAAUAUUAUCAAAACAAGCAUUAUUAGUUAGUUGUAGUGUGACACUGCUGCCACUAGAUGGUAGUAAAGAGUUUUACUGAUAAAA